Molecule: ribosomal RNA, 597 nt
Filed under: Cortinarius cf. salor F15960
Lineage: Eukaryota; Fungi; Basidiomycota; Agaricomycetes; Agaricales; Cortinariaceae
Description: eukaryotic LSU rRNA
Rfam family: Eukaryotic large subunit ribosomal RNA
Source: RNAcentral
GUGACCUCAAAUCAGGUAGGACUACCCGCUGAACUUAAGCAUAUCAAUAAGCGGAGGAAAAGAAACUAACAAGGAUUCCCCUAGUAACUGCGAGUGAAGCGGGAAAAGCUCAAAUUUAAAAUCUGUCAGUCUUUGGCUGUCCGAGUUGUAAUCUAGAGAAGUGUUAUCCGCGCUGGACCGUGUACAAGUCUCCUGGAAUGGAGCGUCAUAGAGGGUGAGAAUCCCGUCUUUGACACGGACUGCCAGGGCUUUGUGAUGCGCUCUCAAAGAGUCGAGUUGUUUGGGAAUGCAGCUCAAAAUGGGUGGUAAAUUCCAUCUAAAGCUAAAUAUUGGCGAGAGACCGAUAGCGAACAAGUACCGUGAGGGAAAGAUGAAAAGAACUUUGGAAAGAGAGUUAAACAGUACGUGAAAUUGCUGAAAGGGAAACGCUUGAAGUCAGUCGCGUUGGCCAGGGAUCAACCUUGCUUUUGCUUGGUGUACUUUCUGGUUGACGGGUCAGCAUCAAUUUUGACUGUUGGAAAAAAAUUAAGGGAAUGUGGCAUCUUUGGAUGUGUUAUAGCCCUUGGUUGCAUACAAUGGUUGGGAUUGAGGAACUCA